UGAACGCUGGCGGUAUGCUUAACACAUGCAAGUCGAACGGUAACAGCAGAAGCUUGCUUCUGGCUGACGAGUGGCGGACGGGUGAGUAACGCGUAGGAAUCUGCCUGAUAGCGGGGGACAACUUGGGGAAACCCAAGCUAAUACCGCAUACGCCCUACGGGGGAAAGCGGGGGCCAUUAGGCCUCGCACUAUCAGAUGAGCCUGCGUCGGAUUAGCUAGUUGGUAGGGUAAAAGCCUACCAAGGCAACGAUCCGUAGCUGUUCUGAGAGGAAGAUCAGCCACACUGGGACUGAGACACGGCCCAGACUCCUACGGGAGGCAGCAGUGGGGAAUAUUGGACAAUGGGGGCAACCCUGAUCCAGCAAUACCGCGUGUGUGAAGAAGGCCUGCGGGUUGUAAAGCACUUUCAAUUGGGAAGAAAAGGUUGAGGUUAAUACCCUUGAUUCUUGACGUUACCAUUAGAAGAAGCACCGGCUAACUCC
This 482-nucleotide ribosomal RNA is filed under the name uncultured bacterium. RNAcentral describes it as "bacterial SSU rRNA". It matches the Rfam family "Bacterial small subunit ribosomal RNA", at positions 30 to 504 of the family's 1533-position model. The record is from RNAcentral.